GAUGAAGAACGUAGCGAAAUGCGAUAAGUAGUGUGAAUUGCAGAAUUCAGUGAAUCAUCGAAUCUUUGAACGCACAUUGCGCCCUUUGGUAUUCCUUAGGGCAUGCCUGUUCGAGCGUCAUUUAAACCUUCAAGCUAAGCUUGGUGUUGGGUGACUGUCCGCUUCACGGCGGACUCGCCUCAAAAUUAUUGGCGGCCGGUACAUUGGCUUCGAGCGCAGCAGAAACGCGAACUCNGNCCCGUCGUAUUGGCUCCCAGAAGCUAUCUUCACAAUUUUGACCUCGGAUCAGGUAGGGAUACCCGCUGAACUUAAGCAUAUCAAUAAGCGGAGGA
This 332-nucleotide unclassified non-coding RNA is filed under the name soil metagenome. Its description in RNAcentral is "partial contains 5.8S ribosomal RNA, internal transcribed spacer 2, and large subunit ribosomal RNA". The stretch from base 1 to 120 matches the Rfam family "5.8S ribosomal RNA", at positions 35 to 154 of the family's 154-position model. The record is from RNAcentral.